CAGUAGCCGCGGUAAAACGAAGGGGGCUAGCGUUGUUCGGAUUUACUGGGCGUAAAGCGCACGUAGGCGGAUCGAUCAGUCAGGGGCGAAAUCCCAGAGCUCAACUCUGGAACUGCCUUUGAUACUGUCGAUCUGGAGUAUGGAAGAGGCGAGUGGAAUUCCGAGUGUAGAGGUGAAAUUCGUAGAUAUUCGGAGGAACACCAGUGGCGAAGGCGGCUCACUGGUCCAUUACUGACGCUGAGGUGCGAAAGCGUGGGGAGCAAACAGGAUUAGAUACCCCUGUAGUCCCUGUCUCUUAUAC
Molecule: ribosomal RNA, 301 nt
Filed under: uncultured bacterium
Lineage: Bacteria
Description: partial 16S ribosomal RNA
Rfam family: Bacterial small subunit ribosomal RNA
Source: RNAcentral